Molecule: small RNA, 704 nt
Filed under: Pan troglodytes (chimpanzee)
Lineage: Eukaryota; Metazoa; Chordata; Mammalia; Primates; Hominidae
Description: processed transcript
Source: RNAcentral
GAGACUAAGGCAGAAGAGAAGAGAUUGGAUGUCCUCUAAAAUUAGGCCACCUAAAUUGUAACAUAUAAUUUUAAUCAAGAGAAUAGUGGAGUACUUUAUUAGGACAUAAUGUGAAGUGAUAUUUCUGAAAACACAUUUCUUGAAAUAGUUUUAAAACUGAUAAUAAAGGAAAAGAAACUGUACUUAGUUCGGAGCAGUGGACAAAAGCUGAUUCAGAAAACAUAACCAUAUUCUGCCUAAAUGAAGCAUCUGGGAAGAAAGGGAAAGUCACACCUCCUCUUGAGAUUUUAACCAUUAUGAUAAAAGACAACAGCAGUUCUGUAGAGAGUUUAAAUAUGAAGGAAUGGCAGGACGGGCUAAGGGCACUUCUACCCAACAUUAACAUCAACUUUGGUGGACUGCCCAAUUCUUCCCCCUCCAACGCCAACCACAGUGCACCAACGUCCAACACUGCCACCACCGACAGCCUGAGUUGGGACAGCCCUGGCAGCUGGACAGACCCAGCCAUCAUCACAGGUAUUCCAGCGUCUUCAGGAAACAGUUUAGACUCUCUUCAAGAUGACAAUCCUCCACACUGGCUAAAAUCCCUUCAGGCCCUCACAGAGAUGGACGGCCCCAGCGCUGCUCCAUCACAGACCCACCACAGCGCCCCCUUCAGCACACAGAUCCCGCUGCACAGAGCCAGUUGGAAUCCCUACCCUCCU